Camelus ferus (Wild Bactrian camel) is the source of this 72-nucleotide transfer RNA. It matches the Rfam family "tRNA". From Rfam's summary of the family: Transfer RNA (tRNA) molecules are approximately 80 nucleotides in length. Their secondary structure includes four short double-helical elements and three loops (D, anti-codon, and T loops). The record is from Rfam. NCBI's taxonomy places the organism in Eukaryota, Metazoa, Chordata, Mammalia, Artiodactyla, Camelidae.
GAAGGUAUAGCUCAGUGGUAGAGUGGGUGCUUAGCAUACGCGAGGUUCUAGGUUCAAUCCUCAGUAUCUCCA